AUUCAGCUGACGAGUCCCAAAUGAGACGAAACAUGCGUCCUGGGU
Schistosoma haematobium is the source of this 45-nucleotide non-coding RNA. The record is from Rfam. Lineage: Eukaryota; Metazoa; Platyhelminthes; Trematoda; Strigeidida; Schistosomatidae.